GUGCCAGCAGCCGCGGUAAUACGGAGGAUGCAAGCGUUAUCCGGAUUUAUUGGGUUUAAAGGGUGCGUACGCGGAAAAUUAAGUCAGUGAUGAAAUCCUGCAGCUCAACUGUAGAACUGUUAUUGAUACUGAUUUUCUUGAAUUUAGUUGAGGUAGGCGGAAUGUGUAAUGUAGCGGUGAAAUGCUUAGAUAUUACACAGAACACCGAUUGCGAAGGCAGCUUACUAAGCUAAAAUUGACGCUGAGGCACGAAAGCGUGGGGAGCGAACAGGAUUAGAUACCCUGGUAGUCC
RNAcentral lists this ribosomal RNA (292 nucleotides) under uncultured prokaryote. RNAcentral's name for it is "partial 16S ribosomal RNA". It matches the Rfam family "Bacterial small subunit ribosomal RNA", at positions 505 to 796 of the family's 1533-position model. The record is from RNAcentral.